Molecule: long non-coding RNA, 186 nt
Organism: Scatophagus argus
Lineage: Eukaryota; Metazoa; Chordata; Actinopteri; Scatophagidae
Exons: 3
Source: RefSeq, a predicted model, not a curated record
UCCGCUUCUGUCUGACGUUAGCUCCAUGCUAAACCGAAGAUGGGCUUCAGCUACAAGGAUAUUAACUCUCCUGAACAAAAUGACAACGGAUGACUUGAUGUGGACAGCAGAGCAGGAGCUGAGGACCACGAAGCCCAGCGUCCCUCUGAGCUGUGAGCCGGACCUGAAGUCUUUGUUUUGGCUUGA